GUCGAUGUGGAUCCCGCAUAUUUACCAACAGAUUCUCACAUUUUAGAUCAAAGUGAACAAUGUUUUUUCCAUGCAGAUACUCCAUACCAAAAGCAGCAUCCAUAGCAAUAAUAAGCCUUUUACGGCGAUCAAUAGUCCUGUCCUUUUUCUGUAAAAACUGUUUCAAUGAUCCAUUGACCAUGAAUUCUGUAACAGUUGCUAAAGAUCCAUCUGGUCCAUCACGAACUACACCGUAAAAAGAAACAACAUUUGGAUGGUGCAGUGAACUCAAUGUCAG
This 277-nucleotide unclassified non-coding RNA is filed under the name Hevea brasiliensis (rubber tree). The record is from RNAcentral. Lineage: Eukaryota; Viridiplantae; Streptophyta; Magnoliopsida; Malpighiales; Euphorbiaceae.